RNAcentral lists this unclassified non-coding RNA (200 nucleotides) under soil metagenome. RNAcentral's name for it is "partial contains internal transcribed spacer 2 and large subunit ribosomal RNA". The record is from RNAcentral.
CGAGCGUCAUUUCAACCCUCAAGCUUAGCUUGGUCUUGGGCCGUGCCGGCAACGGCUGGCCUUAAAAUUAGUGGCGGUGCCUAUUGAGCUCUACGCGUAGUAAUAAACCCCUCGCUUCUGAGUCUCGGUGGACGCUUGCCAGCAACCCCCAAUUUUUUCUGGUUGACCUCGGAUCAGGUAGGGAUACCCGCUGAACUUAA